This 465-nucleotide ribosomal RNA is filed under the name uncultured bacterium. RNAcentral describes it as "partial 16S ribosomal RNA". It matches the Rfam family "Bacterial small subunit ribosomal RNA", at positions 28 to 507 of the family's 1533-position model. The record is from RNAcentral.
GACGAACGCUGGCGGCGUGCUUAACACAUGCAAGUCGUACGGUAAGGCCCUUUCGGGGGUACACGAGUGGCGCACGGGUGAGUAACACGUGAGUAACCUGCCCACAACUUUGGGAUAACGCUAGGAAACUGGUGCUAAUACUGGAUAUGUGCCCCUGCUGCAUGGUGGGGGUUGGAAAGCUCCGGCGGUUGUGGAUGGACUCGCGGCCUAUCAGCUUGUUGGUGGGGUAGUGGCCUACCAAGGCGGCGACGGGUAGCCGGCCUGAGAGGGUGACCGGCCACAUUGGGACUGAGAUACGGCCCAGACUCCUACGGGAGGCAGCGGUGGGGAAUAUUGCACAAUGGGCGCAAGCCUGAUGCAGCAACGCCGCGUGCGGGAUGACGGCCUUCGGGUUGUAAACCGCUUUCAGCAGGGACGAAGCUUUUUGUGACGGUACCUGCAGAAGAAGCACCGGCUAACUACGUG